This is a long non-coding RNA of Gopherus evgoodei (Goodes thornscrub tortoise), 95 nucleotides long. RefSeq lists it as uncharacterized. The transcript is spliced from 3 exons. NCBI's taxonomy places the organism in Eukaryota, Metazoa, Chordata, Testudines, Testudinidae. The record is from RefSeq and is a predicted model, not a curated record.
GCCCAGGGAAUUGUAUGUGUCCUGUUUCUAAAAGGUCAGCUACCACAGCUGAUAGUAUUAGGGUCCCUGGGCUGGAGACCAGAGAAAGGGAGGAG